AUUGAACGCUGGCGGCAUGCCUUACGCAUGCAAGUCGAACGGCAGCACGGGAGCAAUCCUGGUGGCGAGUGGCGAACGGGUGAGUAAUAUAUCGGAACGUGCCCAGUCGUGGGGAUAACGUAGCGAAAGCUACGCUAAUACCGCAUACGAUCUAUGGAUGAAAGCGGGGGAUCGCAAGACCUCGCGCGAUUGGAGCGGCCGAUAUCAGAUUAGGUAGUUGGUGAGGUAAAGGCUCACCAAGCCGACGAUCUGUAGCUGGUCUGAGAGGACGACCAGCCACACUGGGACUGAGACACGGCCCAGACUCCUACGGGAGGCAGCAGUGGGGAAUUUUGGACAAUGGGCGCAAGCCUGAUCCAGCAAUGCCGCGUGCAGGAUGAAGGCCU
This 386-nucleotide ribosomal RNA is filed under the name uncultured bacterium. RNAcentral's name for it is "bacterial SSU rRNA". It matches the Rfam family "Bacterial small subunit ribosomal RNA", at positions 30 to 417 of the family's 1533-position model. The record is from RNAcentral.